This 821-nucleotide ribosomal RNA is filed under the name uncultured Verrucomicrobiota bacterium. RNAcentral describes it as "bacterial SSU rRNA". It matches the Rfam family "Bacterial small subunit ribosomal RNA", at positions 70 to 868 of the family's 1533-position model. Lineage: Bacteria; Pseudomonadati; Verrucomicrobiota. The record is from RNAcentral.
AUUUCUUUCUGUAGCAAUACAGAGAAAAAUCCAGCGGCGAACGGGUGCGUAACACGUGGGCAAUCUGUCUUAAAGUGGGGGAUAGCUCGGCGAAAGCCGAAUUAAUACCGCAUGUGAUCAGGGGCGACAUCGCUCCGAAAUCAAAGGUGGCGCAAGCUACCGCUUUUUGAGGGGCCCGCGGCCUAUCAGCUUGUUGGUGAGGUAACGGCUCACCAAGGCUAUGACGGGUAGCUGGUCUGAGAGGACGACCAGUCACACUGGGACUGAGACACGGCCCAGACACCUACGGGUGGCAGCAGUCGAGAAUUUCUGACAAUGGGGGAAACCCUGAUCGAGCGACGCCGCGUGGAGGAUGAAGGUCUUCGGGUUGUAAACUCCUGUCAUUUGGGAACAAGGCGCACGUAUUAACUGUGCGUGCGUUGAUAGUACCAGAAGAGGAAGAGACGGCUAACUCUGUGCCAGCAGCCGCGGUAAUACAGAGGUCUCAAGCGUUGUUCGGAUUCAUUGGGCGUAAAGGGUGUGUAGGUGGCGCGCUAAGUCGGGUGUGAAAUUUCGGAGCUUAACUCCGAAACUGCAUUCGAUACUGGCGUGCUUGAGGACUGGAGAGGAGACUGGAAUUUACGGUGUAGCAGUGAAAUGCGUAGAUAUCGUAAGGAAGACCAGUGGCGAAGGCGGGUCUCUGGACAGUUCCUGACACUGAGACACGAAGGCCAGGGGAGCAAACGGGAUUAGAUACCCCGGUAGUCCUGGCAGUAAACGGUGCACGUUUGGUGUGGGGAGGAUUCGACCCCUUCUGCGCCGGAGCUAACGCGUUAAACGUG